GCGGAAGUGGCGGAAUUGGCAGACGCGUACGUCUCAGAAGCGUAUGGGGAAACCCUUGAGGGUUCAACUCCCUCCUUCCGCA
Molecule: transfer RNA, 82 nt
Filed under: Candidatus Omnitrophota bacterium
Lineage: Bacteria; Pseudomonadati; Candidatus Omnitrophota
Description: Candidatus Omnitrophica bacterium (sediment metagenome) tRNA-Leu
Rfam family: tRNA
About the family: Transfer RNA (tRNA) molecules are approximately 80 nucleotides in length. Their secondary structure includes four short double-helical elements and three loops (D, anti-codon, and T loops). Further hydrogen bonds mediate the characteristic L-shaped molecular structure. tRNAs have two regions of fundamental functional importance: the anti-codon, which is responsible for specific mRNA codon recognition, and the 3' end, to which the tRNAs corresponding amino acid is attached (by aminoacyl-tRNA synthetases). tRNAs cope with the degeneracy of the genetic code in two manners: having more than one tRNA (with a specific anti-codon) for a particular amino acid; and 'wobble' base-pairing, i.e. permitting non-standard base-pairing at the 3rd anti-codon position.
Source: RNAcentral